This 488-nucleotide ribosomal RNA is filed under the name uncultured Leucobacter sp. RNAcentral's name for it is "partial 16S ribosomal RNA". The record is from RNAcentral. Lineage: Bacteria; Bacillati; Actinomycetota; Actinomycetes; Micrococcales; Microbacteriaceae.
CACGUAGUUAGCCGGUGCUUUUUCUGCAGGUACCGUCACUUUCGCUUCUUCCCUACUAAAAGAGGUUUACAACCCGAAGGCCGUCAUCCCUCACGCGGCGUUGCUGCACCAGGCUUGCGCCCAUUGUGCAAUAUUCCCCACUGCUGCCUCCCGUAGGAGUCUGGGCCGUGUCUCAGUCCCAGUGUGGCCGGUCACCCUCUCAGGCCGGCUACCCGUCGUCGCCUUGGGUGAGCCAUUACCUCACCAACAAGCUGAUAGGCCGCGAGUCCAUCUACCACCGAUAAAUCUUUCCACCCACACACCAUGCGGUGAUGGGACAUAUCCAGUAUUAGACGCCGUUUCCAGCGCUUAUCCCAGAGUGAUAGGCAGGUUACUCACGUGUUACUCACCCGUUCGCCACUCUUCCACCCAGCAAGCUAGGCUUCAUCGUUCGACUUGCAUGUGUUAAGCACGCCGCCAGCGUUCGUCCUGACCAGGAUCAAAACUCU